CUACGUGCCAGCAGCCGCGGUAAUACGUAGGUCCCGAGCGUUAUCCGGAUUUAUUGGGCGUAAAGCGAGCGCAGGCGGUUAGAUAAGUCUGAAGUUAAAGGCUGUGGCUUAACCAUAGUACGCUUUGGAAACUGUUUAACUUGAGUGCAGAAGGGGAGAGUGGAAUUCCAUGUGUAGCGGUGAAAUGCGUAGAUAUAUGGAGGAACACCGAUGGCGAAAGCGGCUCUCUGGUCUGUAACUGACGCUGAGGCUCGAAAGCGUGGGGAGCGAACAGGAUUAGAUACCCUGGUAGUCCACGCCGUAAACGAUGAGUGCUAGGUGUUGGAUCCUUUCCGGGAUUCAGUGCCGCAGCUAACGCAUUAAGCACUCCGCCUGGGGAGUACGACCGCAAGGUUGAAACUCAAAGGAAUUGACGGGGGCCCGCACAAGCGGUGGAGCAUGUGGUUUAAUUCGAAGCAACGCGAAGAACCUUACCAGGUCUUGACAUCCCGAUGCUAUUUCUAGAGAUAGAAAGUUA
Molecule: ribosomal RNA, 517 nt
Filed under: uncultured bacterium
Lineage: Bacteria
Description: bacterial SSU rRNA
Rfam family: Bacterial small subunit ribosomal RNA
Source: RNAcentral